RNAcentral lists this ribosomal RNA (868 nucleotides) under uncultured bacterium. RNAcentral's name for it is "bacterial SSU rRNA". It matches the Rfam family "Bacterial small subunit ribosomal RNA", at positions 28 to 896 of the family's 1533-position model. The record is from RNAcentral.
GACGAACGCUGGCGGCGUGCCUAACACAUGCAAGUCGAACGGGAUCCAUACUAUGAAGUCUUCGGAUGGAUUGGUAUGGUGAGAGUGGCGGACGGGCGAGUAACGCGUGAGCAACCUGCCCUAUACUGGGGGAUAACACCGGGAAACCGGUGCUAAUACCGCAUAAGACUACGAGAUCGCAUGGUUUUGUAGUCAAAGCUCCGGCGGUAUAGGAUGGGCUCGCGUCCAAUUAGCUAGUUGGUGAGGUAACGGCCCACCAAGGCGACGAUUGGUAGCCGAACUGAGAGGUUGAUCGGCCGCAUUGGGACUGAGACACGGCCCAGACUUCUACGGGAGGCAGCAGUGGGGAAUAUUGCGCAAUGGGGGCAACCCUGACGCAGCAACGCCGCGUGAAGGAAGAAGGCCUUCGGGUUGUAAACUUCUUUGAUCGGGGACGAAACUGACGGUACCCGAGGAACAAGCCACGGCUAACUACGUGCCAGCAGCCGCGGUAAUACGUAGGUGGCAAGCGUUGUCCGGAAUUACUGGGCGUAAAGGGCGUGUAGGCGGGGCGGCAAGUCAGGUGUGAAAUCCCGGGGCUUAACUCCGGAGCUGCAUCUGAAACUGCUGUUCUUGAGUGCUGGAGAGGAAAGUGGAAUUCCCAGUGUAGCGGUGAAAUGCGUAGAGAUUGGGAGGAACACCAGUGGCGAAGGCGGCUUUCUGGACAGUAACUGACGCUGAGGCGCGAAAGCGUGGGGAGCAAACAGGAUUAGAUACCCUGGUAGUCCACGCCGUAAACGAUGGAUACUAGGUGUAGGAGGUAUCGACCCCUUCUGUGCCGGAGUUAACACAAUAAGUAUCCCGCCUGGGGAGUACGGCCGCAAGGCUG